This is a long non-coding RNA of Oreochromis aureus, 1545 nucleotides long. The record is from Ensembl. NCBI's taxonomy places the organism in Eukaryota, Metazoa, Chordata, Actinopteri, Cichliformes, Cichlidae.
CUGUUUGAGGCUGUCUGGAGACUUCAGAGGAGGUUGAUGAAGCUGUGAAGCUUCUUGAACUGAAGUUCAAAUGCUGUGUUGUUGUUGUUGUGGAGGCCGACAGGAGAAAUGUUGAUGUUGAUAAAGGCUGAUUUGGUGUUGAAGUAUCUGAAGCUGUGAGCAAGGAAACAAUCAGAAUAACAAUCCUGCUUGAAGCAGGUUUUCUGUCUGCAUGUGAGUAAUAGGGGUUAAUGUGUGUUUACAGCAACUCAUUAAACUAAACUUGUAGUGUGAAUAUGACACAUGUAGGUUAUUUGAAAGAAAAGUGGGUGUGGUCAGUGAGAAGUUCACAUCUUCACGGACAUGAAUAAGAUUUUUUAGCAGAGACUCACCUUCUGUGACAACAAUGUUAAAAUUGUCUGAAUUUGAACCCAAAGUACACAUGUACUGUCCCGAGUCAGACUUCUGUAGCUGUGUGAUGUUCACAUACACAAUAUUUGAUGAAAAAUAAUUUUUUUCAAAUUUAAUGCUGUAUCUGCCGCUCUGAGCUGUGUAACCAGUUGUUUCAAUGAGAACGUUUCCUGUUUCACAUUUUUCCUUGCAGAGUGACAUCGUGCUUCCAGAGAAAUAAAUCCGGCAUUCAGCUGUGAUGUUUCCUCCUUCCACUCCUUCAUAGACGGGAGUUUCAGCGUUGGCAAGUCCAGUGUUUCCAUCCUGCAGCCAUCUGUUGAAGAAAACUCAGCUCAGAGUGAAAAGCUUGAAAACUGACCUUUUAUUUGUUUGUGAUAAGAUCUUGAUCUGCUUUGAGGUUUUUGAAAUAGUGACUUAAUAUUCAGAGUUUUCAGCCUGUUAACAUUUAAGCUGUGCUGUUCCUCCUGAACUUAAUAAAAAGACAUAAAUAAGGUUGUUGCCUUACAAGCUCUAAAUGUGGUUUAGUGGCUUUAUAGAGAAGAAAGCAGCUCUCUGAACACAAACGAGCUGCUGUCCGUCUGAAAGCAGCUGCUAACCAGGCUUCCCUGCCCUCGGUUACCAUGGACAUCGUUCAGUCAGGAACAAAGUGGAUGAGCUUCGUGGGAACAUUCACCUCCAGGAGGAGACCGCUGCAGUUUAACUUCCACAGAGACGCGGCUGACAAGCCAAGACCAGGAGGAUUUUUUUUAAUCAGAGUAUUUGGAUUACAUUUUAUUCUGGACCGAAAGCCAAAAGUGACUCGAGGAAUGAAAACAUACUGUGGGUGAGGUUAGGUAAUUCUGUGAAAUACGGCGGAUGUUGAACGUUUAUCAGUAUCGAUGCGUCCUUUUAUCUGCUCCGUGAGAACAGUGGUGGACAUUCACUCACAGACAACCGCUGCUUCUGCUUUCCGCACUGUUUCUGAUGUAGUGCAAAACCUGCAAACAUCUUUAUGAAUAAGAAAUAAGAAGAAUUUACUUACAGAGGAAGAUGGAGCAGAGCAAAAUGUGACAGAGUUUCAUCUCGAGGUUCUGACGGCUUAAUGUUUAAUGCUGCUUCUCUUUCUUCUCUGUUUGCAAACCAGGAACUUCAAAUUUUGUGGUCCCUCCUUCAAAC